GAUGAACGCUGGCGGCGUGCCUAAUACAUGCAAGUCGAGCGAACAGACGAGGAGCUUGCUCCUCUGACGUUAGCGGCGGACGGGUGAGUAACACGUGGAUAACCUACCUAUAAGACUGGGAUAACUUCGGGAAACCGGAGCUAAUACCGGAUAAUAUAUUGAACCGCAUGGUUCAAUAGUGAAAGACGGUUUUGCUGUCACUUAUAGAUGGAUCCGCGCCGCAUUAGCUAGUUGGUAAGGUAACGGCUUACCAAGGCAACGAUGGGAAGCCGACCUGAGAGGGUGAUCGGCCAGACGGGAACUGAGACACGGUCCAGACUCCUACGGGAGGCAGCAGUAGGGAAUCUUCCGCAAUGGGCGAAAGCCUGACGGAGCAACGCCGCGUGAGUGAUGAAGGUCUUCGGAUCGUAAAACUCUGUUAUUAGGGAAGAACAAAUGUGUAAGUAACUAUGCACGUCUUGACGGUACCUAAUCAGAAAGCCACGGCUAACUACGUG
Molecule: ribosomal RNA, 497 nt
Filed under: uncultured bacterium
Lineage: Bacteria
Description: partial 16S ribosomal RNA
Rfam family: Bacterial small subunit ribosomal RNA
Source: RNAcentral